This 253-nucleotide ribosomal RNA is filed under the name uncultured bacterium. Its description in RNAcentral is "partial 16S ribosomal RNA". It matches the Rfam family "Bacterial small subunit ribosomal RNA", at positions 524 to 776 of the family's 1533-position model. The record is from RNAcentral.
UACGUAGGGGGCAAGCGUUGUCCGGAAUUAUUGGGCGUAAAGAGCGUGUAGGCGGCCUUGCAAGUCGGAUGUGAAAGCCCCGGGCUCAACCCGGGAAGUGCACCCGAUACUGCUAGGCUUGAGUACCGGAGAGGUUGGUGGAAUUCUCGGUGUAGAGGUGAAAUUCGUAGAUAUCGAGAGGAACACCGGUGGCGAAGGCGGCCCACUGGUCCGGUACUGACGCUGAGGUGCGAAAGCGUGGGGAGCAAACAGG